Molecule: long non-coding RNA, 1771 nt
Organism: Leptidea sinapis
Lineage: Eukaryota; Metazoa; Arthropoda; Insecta; Lepidoptera; Pieridae
Exons: 4
Source: RefSeq, a predicted model, not a curated record
UUUCAUCAAAACAGAAGAAAGUGCGAUUGGGCGAUAGGCAGAAUGGUCUGAAGAACACCUAUUAGGUUUCAGUACGGGAAUUAUUUCUUGACGUUUCCACGUGGAGGGGAUGUUACCAGAUGUCACUAUGGAAUUUAUAAGAGAUAAAUAAUAAAAUAAAGCAUUAUCAUCUAAAUGAGAGAUAAAGGAAUACGGAAUACCAUCCAGUCCAGGAGCAGAAUCCUUAACAUGAGACAAUACACCUUUUAGUUCAGUGAGAGAAAAUAUACUGUUUAAACCAAAACAGUUAUCAUUAUUUAUAUUUAUUACAGGGUAACCAAUUAUUAAGUCUUCAGGAACGAAAGGUGGAGCCAAUUUAUCUAAAAAGCUAUUAACUAAAUGAAAAGGGAUUGAUUUUGGAGAUGAAUCUUUGUAUGCAGAUCUAAACCUUCUUAUAUUUUGCCAUACAAGAGAUGGUUUGACAUCAGCAUAUUUUCUUCUCUUUACUGCCUCAGUACAUUCGUUAUCCCACCAAGGAGGAGAAGGAAUAAAACCCAAAGAGCUAUUUUUACUUGGAAAUAUCUCAUUGGCAACCUCAAUAAAGAUUCUUGCUAAAGAAUCUGCACACUGAGAUUCUGUACCUGGAUUAAUUUUUGGAAGUGUUGGAAAUGAUAAUAAUAGUGGGAAGUGAUCACUACCAAAAGUAGAUCGUAAUGGAUCCCAGGACAAAGAGGAAGCAAGAUUAGGUGUAGUGACUGUUAAAUCUGGAGCACUUGGGCCCUCGUCAGGAUGAGAACGUCGUGUAGGACGACCAUCAUUUAAUAUACACAAAUUCACUGAAUCAAAUAUAUCUAUUAAUGUGUUACCAUAACUAUUAGAAGAUAAGUAACCCCAGGAUUCAUGGCGACAGUUAAAAUCACCAAGGAUCAUAAAAGGCUUCGGAAGAAUGGAAAUAAUAUCUUUAAUUUCAUUUAAGAUUGCAGAAGAAGGAUGAGGUAUAUAAAUAGAUACAUAACAGAUAUUUUCAACUAAAGCAGCAAUAAUAGAAAAAUCAUUACUGUGAGAAGGAAUAGAGAAGAGAGAAAAGGAAAGAGGGUGUUUCACAAGCAUGGCUACUCCGCCAUGCCCAUCCACACGAUCUUCUCUGAGACAUGAAUAACCACGAAUCUUAAAUAAAGAUCCUGGUUUCAACCAUGUCUCUUGAAGAGCACAGAUAUAAGGUUUAUAUUUAUUUAAUAAAUAAAUAAGAUCACUUUUUUUAGGAGUGAUGCUUUGACAAUUCCAUUGAAGAACUUUGUCCAUUAUUUGGUUUAUAAAUUUGAGUAAUUGCAGAAACUAAUAAGGCAGCGUUGGACGGUAAAAAUUCAUUCGAUUGACUAAGAGAUUUUAUAAGAGAAAUAAUUAAAUCAAUUACUGAGGAUUCCAAAGGAUUUUCAUUUUCUUUGUUAAUUAAUGCACAUCCAUUAGAGGGUUGGGGAAUAUUAAAAUCCCUUAAAAUUUCUUGUGUCUGCAUAUUCUGGGUCGAGCUGACACUCUUUUACGGCCACUAGAUGUCUGAGACACAGAACCAUCUGUAUCCAUAGUGCUACCUUCGUCAUUAUUAGAAAUUGUCACUACAUGACCUAUAUCAGGGGCUGUCCCCCCAGGAUCAUCCGGGGGGUCCAUCAUAUUAUAGAAAAGUGAAGAAAAGAAGACUUACCAAUAGGAUGAAAUUUACACAAAUUAACACUUUAAUAAAAACUAACUACUAAAAUAUAUACAAACUACAACUUAUCUGAUCAAAAUAUCUAAA